GCCCGCUGAGGGAGAGACGAAGAGAACAGCUGAUAAAUGGAGCCUCAUCCCCCAGAACCUGACUCUCUGAGAGCCGCCCUCCCAGCCAGCAUGAGCGAUGGAUCGCCCUCCAGAAAGAACCAUCUGAUCCCAGUCGGAAGCUACACAGCACAAACGGCACCGAAAUGGCUUUCGGGAUGGCAAGUCUCCUUCAGCAGAACGUGUCCAGCCUUCUAUAUAAAAAUGUUAAAGACGGGUGUAUUUACGGGUGAGUGUGUGUUUGAAUGUGUUCAUGUGUGUAGAGGUUUGGGGAUAAUUGGGCAGAGAAUGUUGUAAUAAUAAAUAAGAAAAAAUCUGUG
This is a long non-coding RNA of Tachyglossus aculeatus (Australian echidna), 338 nucleotides long. RefSeq lists it as uncharacterized. NCBI's taxonomy places the organism in Eukaryota, Metazoa, Chordata, Mammalia, Monotremata, Tachyglossidae. The transcript is spliced from 2 exons. The record is from RefSeq and is a predicted model, not a curated record.